Long non-coding RNA from Herpailurus yagouaroundi (jaguarundi), 592 nucleotides. RefSeq lists it as uncharacterized. The record is from RefSeq and is a predicted model, not a curated record. NCBI's taxonomy places the organism in Eukaryota, Metazoa, Chordata, Mammalia, Carnivora, Felidae. The transcript is spliced from 2 exons.
UCCAGGUCCCAUGGUCCUCUCCACCAAUCGGAAGGCUCGGAGGGCCACUGGCCCGGGAGAGGGACUUAGCGCGCGGAGGACCGGGUGCGGAGGACCGGGUGCGGAGGACCGGGUGCGGAGGACCGGGUGCGGAGGACCGGGUGCGGAGGACCGGAAGAGUUCUGCUACGAGGGUCUCACCCACGACACGGUGGCUGGCUGCGGUUUCGCGUCCGGGUCUCAACCCCUGGGUGCUUCGCCGCUUUGCAGCGGCUCCUCCACCUGCUGCUCGCAGAGGCUUGAAGGGCGCCUCCGCACUUAAGCCUUGAUGGAGUAGGAAGCACAGGAAAUCCAUUUCUCUACCUAGACAACAAUUGCACUGGCAGAAACUGUCCGAAAUAACUAUUUUGGAACUCUGGAGUCCACUUGAAUUCUUGCAUCUUCCAAGGGAAAGUUUGGUUGGUAAAUUGAGGUUAAUUUCAGUCAAUGUCAGACUUUAGUGUAAUAGCACCUCCCUGUUUCCUACCCCUCAACCCUGUGGCAGGCAGCCAUGUUCACAUUCCUGGUGUGGCUUGCUGGAGCCGUGGUGGGAAAUAAGAAUCUUGUUCGCCAAA